AACCACUCAAGCCUAGCUUGGUAUUAGGGCACGCGGUUUCGCAGCCCUCAAAAUCAGUGGCGGUGCCGGUGGGCUCUAAGCGUAGUACAUACUCCCGCUAUAGAGUUUCCCCGGUAGCUCGCCAGAACUCCCAAUUUUUACA
This 142-nucleotide unclassified non-coding RNA is filed under the name uncultured Phialocephala. RNAcentral describes it as "sequence contains ITS2". The record is from RNAcentral. Lineage: Eukaryota; Fungi; Ascomycota; Leotiomycetes; Helotiales.